GUCAAACCGAUGAGGAAACCAAUAGUAUUUGGCCUUUUUAACAGAGAGACUCUGGCAGGUGGGAAGAGUUAUGAGGUUAGAUAUGAACGCUAUUUCCGAGGGCAAGUAAAACUUGACGAAAGCACGCGUUAAGUGCAAUGACAGUUUAUCUGUCCCAAAGCGACCAAUCCAUGCCAUUUAGUCAAGGGCAAUUGAAUUGGUAAGCAGGGUGGUACCACGGUAAGAGCCCGUCCCUGAU
This 238-nucleotide non-coding RNA is filed under the name Desulfitobacterium metallireducens. RNAcentral describes it as "T-box sequence". It matches the Rfam family "T-box leader". From Rfam's summary of the family: Uncharged tRNA acts as the effector for transcription antitermination of genes in the T-box leader family. T-boxes are found upstream of many aminoacyl-tRNA synthetase genes and some amino acid biosynthetic genes usually in Gram-positive bacteria. The anticodon of a specific tRNA base pairs to a specifier sequence within the T-box motif, and the NCCA acceptor tail of the tRNA base pairs to a conserved bulge in the T-box antiterminator hairpin. Lineage: Bacteria; Bacillati; Bacillota; Clostridia; Eubacteriales; Desulfitobacteriaceae. The record is from RNAcentral.